UGUUGGGUAANUCCGUGAGCGCAACCCUUGUCCUAGUUGCCAGCACUUCGGGUGGGAACUUAGGGAGACUGCCGGUGACAAACCGGAGGAAGGUGGGGAUGACGUCAAGUCAUCAUGGCCACUUAUGGGNUGGGCUACANACGUGCUACAAUGGCCAGGUACAGAGGGCUGCUAACCCGCGAGGGGGCGCUAAUCCCAGAAAACCCGGUCGUAGNUGGAGUCUGCAACUCGACUCCAUGAAGUCAGGAUCGNUAGUAAUCGCGAAUCAGAAUGUCGC
This 277-nucleotide ribosomal RNA is filed under the name uncultured bacterium. Its description in RNAcentral is "partial 16S ribosomal RNA". It matches the Rfam family "Bacterial small subunit ribosomal RNA", at positions 1073 to 1360 of the family's 1533-position model. The record is from RNAcentral.